Molecule: small nucleolar RNA, 75 nt
Filed under: Operophtera brumata (winter moth)
Lineage: Eukaryota; Metazoa; Arthropoda; Insecta; Lepidoptera; Geometridae
Source: RNAcentral
AUUCCAUUAUGAUGACUUAAUUCAGUUCUGCUUCUGAAUGAGUUUUGAAGAAGCUUUUACCCACACAUCUGAAUA